ACGGAGGGUGCAAGCGUUAUUCGGAAUUACUGGGCGUAAAGGGCGUGCAGGCGGGAGAGAAAGUCUGAUGUGAAAGACCGGGGGUUAAACCCGGAAGGGCAUUGGAAACGGCUUUUCUUGAGUUCUGGAGAGGAAGGGAGAAUUCCCGGUGUAGAUGUGAAAUUCGUAGAGAUCGUGAGGAACAGCAGUGGCGAAGGCACCCUUCUGGACAGCAACUCACGCUGAUACGCGUAAGCGUGGGGAGCAAAAAG
RNAcentral lists this ribosomal RNA (251 nucleotides) under uncultured prokaryote. Its description in RNAcentral is "partial 16S rRNA". It matches the Rfam family "Bacterial small subunit ribosomal RNA", at positions 525 to 775 of the family's 1533-position model. The record is from RNAcentral.